AGUCAAGUAAUUAAGUGCAUGUGGUGGAUGCCUUGGCAGUCAGAGGCGAUGAAAGACGUGAUAGCCUGCGAAAAGCUCCGGGGAGGCGGCAAAUAUCCUUUGAUCCGGAGAUGUCUGAAUGGGGGAACCCACCUACUUUAAGGUAGGUAUUGCAACAUGAAUACAUAGUGUUGCAAGGCGAACGAGGGGAAGUGAAACAUCUCAGUACCCUUAGGAAAAGAAAUCAAUUGAGAUUCCCUCAGUAGCGGCGAGCGAACGGGGAUCAGCCCAUUAAGUUAUGUGUGUUUUAGUGGAACGCUCUGGGAAGUGCGAACGUAGAGGGUGAUAUUCCCGUACACGAAAGGGCACACAUAAUGAUGACGAGUAGGGCGAGGCACGUGAAACCUUGUCUGAAUAUGGGGGGACCAUCCUCCAAGGCUAAAUACUCCUGACUGACCGAUAG
Molecule: ribosomal RNA, 442 nt
Filed under: Acinetobacter baumannii
Lineage: Bacteria; Pseudomonadati; Pseudomonadota; Gammaproteobacteria; Moraxellales; Moraxellaceae
Description: partial 23S ribosomal RNA
Rfam family: Bacterial large subunit ribosomal RNA
Source: RNAcentral